Non-coding RNA from Acanthosepion pharaonis, 105 nucleotides. The record is from the annotation of a GenBank genome assembly. NCBI's taxonomy places the organism in Eukaryota, Metazoa, Mollusca, Cephalopoda, Sepiida, Sepiidae.
CCAAAUCACGUUGCAACUCCGGUUCCCGUAUGAUCAGCAAAGUUAAGCAAAGUCGAACCUGGUUAGUACCUAGUUGGGUGACCGCUUGGGAAUACCAGGUGCUAU